GACGAACGCUGGCGGCGUGCUUAACACAUGCAAGUCGAACGGAAAGGCCUGCUUUCCCUUGUGGAUUGCGGGUACUCGAGUGGCGAACGGGUGAGUAACACGUGAGUGAUCUGCCCCCAACUUGGGUAUAAGCCUGGGAAACUGGGUCUAAUUCCCGAUAGGACUGCAGGGUGGUGCCUGUGGUGGAAAACGAUUUUCUAGUGGUUGGGGAUGAGCUCGCGGCCUAUCAGCUUGUUGGUGGGGUAAUGGCCUACCAAGGCGGCGACGGGUAGCCGGCCUGAGGGGGUGGACGGGCACAUUGGGACUGAGAUACGGCCCAGAAUCCUACGGGAGGCAGCAGUGGGGAAUAUUGCACAAUGGGCGGAAGCCUGAUGCAGCGACGCCGCGUGGGGGAUGACGGCCUUCGGGUUGUAAACUCCUUUCGACCGCGAGGAAGCCACCUGGUUGGAAGGGUGGUGACGGUAGUGGUAGAAGAAGCACCGGCUAACUACGUG
RNAcentral lists this ribosomal RNA (494 nucleotides) under uncultured bacterium. Its description in RNAcentral is "partial 16S ribosomal RNA". It matches the Rfam family "Bacterial small subunit ribosomal RNA", at positions 28 to 507 of the family's 1533-position model. The record is from RNAcentral.